Molecule: ribosomal RNA, 888 nt
Filed under: Brizalina sp.
Lineage: Eukaryota; Foraminifera; Rotaliida; Bolivinitidae
Description: SSU rRNA
Rfam family: Eukaryotic small subunit ribosomal RNA
Source: RNAcentral
CAUCCAUACGUGCGCGCAUAUGUGAGUGUAAAUAUGCUAGUCCCUUCACGAGUAUGUGAUAGAUGGUGCAUGCCCGUUCUUAGUUCGUGGAGAGAUAUGUCUGUGUAAAUGCGUGUCACUCUAGGGUGUAUACAUACGUAUAUAUGUGGCGGGUUUGACCCCUCAGUCUUGCACUGAGAGUGUGUGUUAUGCGUAGCGCUCGGUGCACAAGAGCCCGAAAGCGCAGAGAGUGUGAGCACCAUCUCGUGGCGUUUUUCUCACACUCUCUCUUGUACUCUUGAGUACGCAUUGAUAAGAAAGCUUGUCAUUCGUGACUACAUAAACUAGAGGGACCGCUGUUACUUUCUUAAUCCAGAGGAAGGUUGCGGCAAUAACAGGUCUGUGAUGCCCUUAGAUGUUCCGGGCUGCACACGUGCUACAAUGAUUAUUGCAGUGAGCAUCUCAUUUUAUUACACACCGCACGUGCGUAUCUAUAUAUCUCACUGUUCGCAGUAUUUAUAUACGAUUACUGCACGCGGUAAAGCCUACUUCGAAAGUAAGCGGGUAAUCAAUUAGAAGUAAUGAUUUCCACACACACUCUCGUAUACUGCACACAUAUAUGCGGCGUAUAUACCCGGCAUACCUUGUUGCAUGUUAUUGUGCGUAUGUACGUACUUUUUCCGCAUGUGCAAUUGUCAAUUCAUGGUGGGGACAGACCAUUGUUUCAAUUGUUGGUCUCGGUCUUAACUAGGAAUGCCUUGUACGGGUCUUUGGUUCAACAAACCACCCGGAAUACGUCCCUGCCCUUUGUACACACCGCCCGUCGCUCUUACCGAUGGACUUCUCUGUGAGUUUGAGGGACUGUACUGUCUAUUCGUUCGCGAAUAACUAUUAGGAAACUUAAACGAA